This is a long non-coding RNA of Hemiscyllium ocellatum (epaulette shark), 799 nucleotides long. RefSeq lists it as uncharacterized. The transcript has 2 exons. Lineage: Eukaryota; Metazoa; Chordata; Chondrichthyes; Orectolobiformes; Hemiscylliidae. The record is from RefSeq and is a predicted model, not a curated record.
GAAACCCCGCCCCCUUCCGCCUCGCGCCGGGGACCGCUCUAACGGACAAUGUGGGUCGCGCGCGCCCAGGCGCCGGACGCCUUCCUCCGUGGGGUCUCGUGCGAAGGAGCGAGUGAGAUCAAAUACACCCCCCCCCCCCACCACUUCGAAGAGAGUCGGCCAUUCCACAACAAAACGACAGCCGUUAUGGGAGUUUUAAAUUUUUUUUAACCGACGACGGACAGGAGAUUGACUUAGUUCCCGGCAGUCGCGUUUAAUUUUUUGUUUCGGUCAAUCGUUCGGCACUCGGCACGGACCGCGAGAGAGGUCGCUUGUGAUGGAAUCGUCAUGAACUAUGCGAAUAAAUGUACGGUUCGGCUGUGAAACCCACACGAAAAUACUCCAGAACGGUCCCAUACGUGUGUAUUAAAUUAUGAUGGAGUAGAAACAGUCGCAAAGACCGACCCAAAAUUGCAAAUCUUUAUUUAUUAAUAAUGGCGCGCAUCAAAAUAAAAGCCAUUGUAAGUCCUAAGGACUGUCCAAAUGAGUUUGCACAGAUCCUCGUCGGUUUACUGUUAACGCUUUCCUAAUUAGCCGCAGAGUGUGAUGCAGGUUAAGUUAGACUACAUGCAGGAGAUUAUUGACUUCCAUUAACCUUUUAACAUCAAGUAUUGUAAAGAAAGAAAAGAAAAUCAACUUCAAAGAAAUUGCAAUAAGUCUUUCCAAUCACUUUAUUUUCCUUAAAGAUUUUUGUUUUAUUUUACCUCAUUGUAAAAGCAACAUUAAAAGUUGCAAAUAAAAUCAAAAUUGCAAAGUGAAA